RNAcentral lists this ribosomal RNA (468 nucleotides) under uncultured bacterium. Its description in RNAcentral is "partial 16S ribosomal RNA". It matches the Rfam family "Bacterial small subunit ribosomal RNA", at positions 28 to 507 of the family's 1533-position model. The record is from RNAcentral.
GACGAACGCUGGCGGCGUGCUUAACACAUGCAAGUCGAACGGAAAGGCCCUGCUUUUGUGGGGUGCUCGAGUGGCGAACGGGUGAGUAACACGUGAGUAACCUGCCCUUGACUUUGGGAUAACUUCAGGAAACUGGGGCUAAUACUGGAUAGGAGCUCCUGCUGCAUGGUGGGGGUUGGAAAGUUUCGGCGGUUGGGGAUGGACUCGCGGCUUAUCAGCUUGUUGGUGGGGUAGUGGCUUACCAAGGCUUUGACGGGUAGCCGGCCUGAGAGGGUGACCGGCCACAUUGGGACUGAGAUACGGCCCAGACUCCUACGGGAGGCAGCAGUGGGGAAUAGUGCACAAUGGGCGGAAGCCUGAUGCAGCAACGCCGCGUGCGGGAUGACGGCCUUCGGGUUGUAAACCGCUUUCGCCUGUGACGAAGCGUGAGUGACGGUAAUGGGUAAAGAAGCACCGGCUAACUACGUG